This 789-nucleotide ribosomal RNA is filed under the name uncultured archaeon. RNAcentral's name for it is "bacterial SSU rRNA". It matches the Rfam family "Archaeal small subunit ribosomal RNA", at positions 88 to 879 of the family's 1478-position model. The record is from RNAcentral.
GCUCAGUAACACGUGGAUAACCUACCCUUAGGACCGGGAUAACCUUGGGAAACUGAGGAUAAUACUGGAUAGGCAAUUAUUCCUGCAAUGGUUUUUUGUUUAAAUGUUUUUUCGCCUAAGGAUGGGUCUGCGGCCGAUUAGGUAGUUGGUUAGGUAAUGGCUUACCAAGCCAUUGAUCGGUACGGGUUGUGAGAGCAAGAGCCCGGAGAUGGAACCUGAGACAAGGUUCCAGGCCCUACGGGGUGCAGCAGGCGCGAAACCUCCGCAAUGUGAGAAAUCGCGACGGGGGGAUUCCAAGUGCCAUUCUUAACGGGAUGGCUUUUCAUUAGUGUAAAGAGCUUUUGGAAUAAGGGCUGGGCAAGACCGGUGCCAGCCGCCGCGGUAACACCGGCAGCUCUAGUGGUAGCAGUUUUUAUUGGGCCUAAAGUGUCCGUAGCCGGUUUAAUAAGUCUCUGGUGAAAUCCUGUAGCUUAACUGUGGGAAUUGCUGGAGAUACUAUUAGACUUGAGAUCGGGAGAGGUUAGAGGUACUCCCAGGGUAGAGGUGAAAUUCUGUAAUCCUGGGAGGACCGCCUGUUGCGAAGGCUUCUAACUGGAACGGUUCUGACGGUGAGGGACGAAAGUUAGGGGCGCGAACCGGAUUAGAUACCCGGGUAGUCCUAACUGUAAACGAUGCGGACUUGGUGUUGGGGUGGCUUUGAGCUGCUCCAGUGCCGAAGGAAGCUGUUAAGUCCGCCGCCUGGAAGUACGGUCGCAAGACUGAAACUUAAAGGAAUUGGCGGGGGAGCAC